CCCCGGGACAAGCCCCCGCCUGGCCCCCAUGCCCCGGGGGACUCGUGACGUGGAGCCCCCAGCUCAGACGGACACACCUGCCAGCGGCCGGGAGGGAUUGGGGGGGGGGCCAUACUGGGCCCCCCCACCCCACCCUGGGGCCCCCCCAACCCCCCUCGGACUGGGGGGGGGGGCUCCCCCCCCCUUCCUCCCUUACCCCCCUAUUCCCCCCCUGCGAUGUAAUUAUUUGAGUUGAUUUCUUUUGUAUCCUUAAGCCCCGGGGGGGGCCACACACACAGAUGGGGGUCCGGGGGUCCCCCCCCCCCAAACCGGGGGGGACCCCAACCAGCACAGCAGGGCCAGCCCCCCCCCUCCUCGCACCGGGUUUUUUAUAGGGUUGGGGGGGGGGUGGGGGGAGAGGGGGGGGGGGGCGGAUUUGGGGCCCCCCUGCCCCCCCCCCGCCGACACUAACAGUCUUGGGCUCUUUGUAGCGGGACGGGGACGGGGGGCCUUAUUUUAUUGUAUUAUGAUUUUUUUUAUUAUUAUUAAACUUUGGAGGC
Long non-coding RNA from Aquila chrysaetos chrysaetos, 539 nucleotides. RefSeq lists it as uncharacterized. The record is from RefSeq and is a predicted model, not a curated record. Lineage: Eukaryota; Metazoa; Chordata; Aves; Accipitriformes; Accipitridae. The transcript is spliced from 2 exons.